RNAcentral lists this ribosomal RNA (490 nucleotides) under uncultured bacterium. RNAcentral describes it as "partial 16S ribosomal RNA". It matches the Rfam family "Bacterial small subunit ribosomal RNA", at positions 30 to 507 of the family's 1533-position model. The record is from RNAcentral.
AUUGAACGCUGGCGGCAGGCCUAACACAUGCAAGUCGAACGGUAACAGCAAGCAGCUUGCUGCUUUGCUGACGAGUGGCGGACGGGUGAGUAAUGUCUGAGCAACUGCCUGAUGGAGGGGGAUAACUACUGGAAACGGUAGCUAAUACCGCAUAACGUCGCCAGACCAAAGAGGGGGGCCUUGGGGCCUCUUGCCAUCGGAUAUGCCCAGAUGGGAUGAGCUGGUUGGUGGGGUAACGUCUCACCAAGGCGACGAUCGCUAGCUGGUCUGAGAGGAUGAGCAGCCACACUGGAACUGGGACACGGUCAAGAGUCCUAAGGGAGGCAGCAGUGGGGAAUAUUGGACAGUGGGCGCAAGUCUGAUGCAGCCGUGCCGCGUGUAUGAAGGAGGCCUUCGGGUUGUAAAGUCCUUUCAGCGGGGAGGAAGGGAGUAAAGUUAAUACCUUGGGUCAUUGACGGUAAUCGCAGAAGAAGCACCGGCUAACUCCGUG